Molecule: ribosomal RNA, 468 nt
Filed under: uncultured bacterium
Lineage: Bacteria
Description: partial 16S ribosomal RNA
Rfam family: Bacterial small subunit ribosomal RNA
Source: RNAcentral
GACGAACGCUGGCGGCGUGCUUAACACAUGCAAGUCGAACGGUAAGGCCCUGCUUUUGUGGUGUGCUCGAGUGGCGAACGGGUGAGUAACACGUGAGUAACCUGCCCUUUACUUUGGGAUAACUUUUGGAAACUGGGGCUAAUACCGGAUAGGAGCACCUGCUGCAUGGUGGGUGCUGGAAAGUUUCGGUGGUUGGGGUUGGACUUGCGGCUUAUCAGCUUGAUGGUGGGGUAGUGGUAUAGGAUGGCUUUGACGGUUAGCCGGCCUGGGAGGGGGACCGGCCACAGUGGGACUGAGAUGGGGCCCAGACGCCUCCGGGAGGCAGCAGUGGGAAAUAGUGCACGAUGGGCGGAAGCCGGAUGCAGCAACGCCGCGUGCGGGAUGACGGCCUUCGGGUUGUAAACCGUUUGCGCCUGUAACGAAGCGUGAGUGACGGUAACUGAUAAAGAAGCACCGGCUAACUACGUG